AGUGAACGCUGGCGGUAGGCCUAACACAUGCAAGUCGAACGGCAGCACAGUAAGAGCUUGCUCUUACGGGUGGCGAGUGGCGGACGGGUGAGGAAUACAUCGGAAUCUACUUUUUCGUGGGGGAUAACGUAGGGAAACUUACGCUAAUACCGCAUACGACCUACGGGUGAAAGCAGGGGAUCUUCGGACCUUGCGCGAUUGAAUGAGCCGAUGUCGGAUUAGCUAGUUGGCGGGGUAAAGGCCCACCAAGGCGACGAUCCGUAGCUGGUCUGAGAGGAUGAUCAGCCACACUGGAACUGAGACACGGUCCAGACUACUACGGGAGGCAGCAGUGGGGAAUAUUGGACAAUGGGCGCAAGCCUGAUCCAGCCAUACCGCGUGGGUGAAGAAGGCCUUCAGGUUGUAAAGCCCUUUUGUUGGGAAAGAAAAGCAGCAGGUUAAUACCCCGCUGUUCUGACGGUACCCAAAGAAUAAGCACCGGCUAACUUCGUG
This 492-nucleotide ribosomal RNA is filed under the name uncultured bacterium. Its description in RNAcentral is "partial 16S ribosomal RNA". It matches the Rfam family "Bacterial small subunit ribosomal RNA", at positions 29 to 507 of the family's 1533-position model. The record is from RNAcentral.